Molecule: long non-coding RNA, 1468 nt
Organism: Marmota monax (woodchuck)
Lineage: Eukaryota; Metazoa; Chordata; Mammalia; Rodentia; Sciuridae
Exons: 8
Source: RefSeq, a predicted model, not a curated record
UCCGGCUGUUCAAAGGCAGCGGUUCCGGCCUCAGGAGGGCCCAGGCUUCUGGGCAGUGUGGAUGUGUUUUAUUAGUGUUGUGCGGUAUUCGGCGUGGUCCUUAGAACUCGCCGCCUGAGCUUAUUUCGUGAACGGCUUCUUCUGUUCCUCGGGGUACCGGACUUACUGUGCUCCUAGCUUCACCCAGUUUCCCGAUGGUGCUUUGAGCUGAGCAACUUUCCUCCACUGGGCCCUUACCCCCGAUAUGCUGCCUCACCUGAGGUUCAGAGCAAUGGAUUUGGCUGUUUAUGGACUGCGAUCUCUUAAAACAUGAUCGCUAUAUAAACUUUUCCUGCUAUCUUUAUUGUAGGCCUUAGAUUCAUGGUGACUAGAAGGAUAUUUUAAGACAACUGAAAGUCUCUGGCUGGAGAUACUCUGCUGGGACUGAAACUCUUGAUUGAGAUUCAGAUCCUCCAGACCCUAGAGAACCUCGGUGGUCCUGAGUCAGGUUACCCCUUCUCUCUGGGAACCCUUCUUCAGAGACAUCCCCUCUUCUGCGAUAACCUCUAUCUCUGGACCAACCAAACGUUGUGGGACCUCACUCAAGUCUCAAAUCAGUGGGAACUUGAAUUCACAUUUAAGCUUGCUCAAAUUUGGCUAUUGUGAGCUCUGGAAGUUUGUUCCUGUGUUCCUUUGAUAUAUUCCUAUCAACAAGGGAAGAACUGAGAACCUGUGUUGCUUCUUCAAGACCAAAUCUGCCAACCACUUCAGUGGGAAGGACAUGGAUCAAGGGCAAGUAAAACACCACAAAACAUCCUAUUAUUUUAAAGGAUCGAACCCAGCACCCCGCCCAAGCCAAGUGAGUGUGUUACCGCUUGAGCCACAUCCCCAGCCCUUGAAGGAAACAUUGCAAAGAACCACCCUCUCCCUGUUACUUGGAUAAGACCUCCUUGUUUACCUACAGACGCAGACCCUCCAAAUUCCCAUUCUUUGCCUCCCAAGUGAUUAGAUAAACUGUACUCGCUGACAAAUCAGGACAAUAUACCUGCUCCCUUGAUUUGACUAAAGUUAGUUAAGUUUUUCUGCUUACCCCAGGCCCUUUAAUUUUGACCCAUCCUUGGUUGAGCCAACACACAAUGACUCUUUAAUGGCUCAUUUCUUAGGGGGGAAAAAUUCACUGUCCAAUCCCCAUACUAUUUCAUUCCAGUUCUCCCCUCCUAGUUCUUUCCGUCCUUGUUCAUUUCUCCUUACAAAAGAAUAGCUAACAAUUUAAAUUUAAUUAAAAAAGGAUAGAGAACUGUGUCCUUAAAAGAACAGGAGAGUAGGAUACAGACAUGCAUGUGCAUAGAAGAAUGACCAUGUUUGAGCACAGUUGGAAACUGGACAUCUGCAAGCCAUGAAAAGAGGACUCAGAAAAAACCAAACCUACCAACAUCUGGAUCUCUGUCCUCAAGAACUGUGAGCAAAUAAAAUUCUGUUGUUUAAGCCA